Molecule: ribosomal RNA, 468 nt
Filed under: uncultured bacterium
Lineage: Bacteria
Description: partial 16S ribosomal RNA
Rfam family: Bacterial small subunit ribosomal RNA
Source: RNAcentral
GACGAACGCUGGCGGCGUGCUUAACACAUGCAAGUCGAACGGAAAGGCCCUGCUUUUGGGGGGUGCUCGAGUGGCGAAGGGGUGAGUAACACGGGAGUAACCUGCCCUUGACUUUGGGAUAACUUCAGGAAACUGGGGCUAAUACCGGAUAGGAGCUCCUGCGGCAGGGUGUGGGUUGGAAAGUUUCGGCGGUUGGGGAUGGACUCGCGGCUUAUCAGCUUGUGGGUGGGGUAGUGGCUUACCAAGGCUUUGACGGGUAGCCGGCCUGAGAGGGUGACCGGCCACAUUGGGACUGAGAUACGGCCCAGACUCCUACGGGAGGAAGCAGUGGGGAAUAUUGCACAAUGGGCCGAAGCCUGAUGCAGCAACGCCGCGUGCGGGAUGACGGCCUUCGGGUUGUAACCCGCUUUCGCCUGUGACGAAGCGUGAGUGACGGUAAUGGGUAAAGAAGCACCGGCUAACUACGUG